UAGAUUGAAGCCAGUCGUAUAGGGUAUUUAGCUGUUAACUAAAUCUUCGUGGGGUUGGAACCCAUCAAUCUAG
This 73-nucleotide transfer RNA is filed under the name Megaladapis edwardsi. Its description in RNAcentral is "tRNA-Asn". Lineage: Eukaryota; Metazoa; Chordata; Mammalia; Primates; Lepilemuridae. The record is from RNAcentral.